This 84-nucleotide non-coding RNA is filed under the name Marinomonas aquimarina. Its description in RNAcentral is "Bacterial small subunit ribosomal RNA". It matches the Rfam family "Bacterial small subunit ribosomal RNA", at positions 1450 to 1533 of the family's 1533-position model. Lineage: Bacteria; Pseudomonadati; Pseudomonadota; Gammaproteobacteria; Oceanospirillales; Oceanospirillaceae. The record is from Rfam by way of RNAcentral.
GCGGUUACCACGGAGUGGUCAAUGACUGGGGUGAAGUCGUAACAAGGUAGCCCUAGGGGAACCUGGGGCUGGAUCACCUCCUUA